GUUCUGUUGUUCAGUUGUGUCUCUUUGUGACUCUAUUCGGAGUUUUCUUGGCAAAGACUUUGGUGUGGUUUGCCAUUUUCUUCUCUUGCUCAUUUUACAGAGACAAAACUGAGGCAAAUAGGGUUAAGUGGCUUGCUUAGGGUCCCACAGCUAUUAAGUGUCUAACAUCAGAUUUGAACAUGAGAUCUGAGCCUUCCUGACUCCAAGCCUGGUGCUUUAUCUACUGUGCUACCUAGCUGCCCCAAAGGAAGGUAAUCUUUCCCAAUUACAUUUUAAUCUGGUUUGGGGAGCUUCCCUCCUAGAGUACUUAAUGAUUGGGGCAAAAUCAUCACAGAAAUGAUAAACAGCAUUAUUUUUGUUUUCUCAGAACACUGGUAAGAUGCUGAAGACUAGAAAAGAGCACACGCUUAGAAUGCCUUUCUUUCAAAAAAGGAUAAUGAAUAUUGCCCCUGCUCUUCCUAGGAAUGAAUGGGGAGUGCAGCUGAAUUUCCAGGCUUUCAAUCUAAUGGCUACUGGAGGAUUCAUGGAUGGAAUGAAAGAAGGCUCACAGGUGUUAACAUGUUUUAAUUAAUUUCAAUUCUUCUGAUUAGAAAGACUAUUUACAAGCAUGAUUUCAUAGGAACCUGAAGAGAAACACAGGAAGGACAGCCUAAAGGGACUAAUUUCUCCAAAUAGGAUUAAAGCUGAGCAGUUAAUUUGAUUAGAUUAUCUAUACAAACCCCUAAAGAGAGAAAAGGAGACUUACAUUCACCAUAGGAUGGAACACAGG
This 769-nucleotide long non-coding RNA is filed under the name Monodelphis domestica (gray short-tailed opossum). Its description in RNAcentral is "lncRNA (ENSMODG00000037756.1)". The record is from RNAcentral. Lineage: Eukaryota; Metazoa; Chordata; Mammalia; Didelphimorphia; Didelphidae.